RNAcentral lists this ribosomal RNA (593 nucleotides) under Staphylococcus sp. nah_55. RNAcentral describes it as "bacterial SSU rRNA". It matches the Rfam family "Bacterial small subunit ribosomal RNA", at positions 884 to 1473 of the family's 1533-position model. The record is from RNAcentral. Lineage: Bacteria; Bacillati; Bacillota; Bacilli; Caryophanales; Staphylococcaceae.
GACCGNCAAGGUUNAAAACUCAAAGGAAAUUGAACGGGGNCCCGCACAAGCGGNGGAGCAUGUGGUUUAAUUNGAAGCAACGCGAAGAACCUUACCAAAUCUUGACAUCCUUUGNCCGCUCUAGAGAUAGAGUNUUCCCCUUCGGGGGACAAAGUGACAGGUGGUGCAUGGUUGUCGUCAGCUCGUGUCGUGAGAUGUUGGGUUAAGUCCCGCAACGAGCGCAACCCUUAAGCUUAGUUGCCAUCAUUAAGUUGGGCACUCUAAGUUGACUGCCGGUGACAAACCGGAGGAAGGUGGGGAUGACGUCAAAUCAUCAUGCCCCUUAUGAUUUGGGCUACACACGUGCUACAAUGGACAAUACAAAGGGCAGCUAAACCGCGAGGUCAAGCAAAUCCCAUAAAGUUGUUCUCAGUUCGGAUUGUAGUCUGCAACUCGACUACAUGAAGCUGGAAUCGCUAGUAAUCGUAGAUCAGCAUGCUACGGUGAAUACGUUCCCGGGUCUUGUACACACCGCCCGUCACACCACGAGAGUUUGUAACACCCGAAGUCCGGUGGAGUAACCAUUUAUGGAGCUAGCCUUGAAGUGACAAUUG